RNAcentral lists this long non-coding RNA (479 nucleotides) under Zalophus californianus (California sea lion). RNAcentral's name for it is "lncRNA (ENSZCAG00015004419.1)". Lineage: Eukaryota; Metazoa; Chordata; Mammalia; Carnivora; Otariidae. The record is from RNAcentral.
GCGCCGCUCGCCCGGCUCGAGCCCCGGCUGGACCCCCGCCUGCCCGCCCGCCUGCCCGCCGGCACGCCGCCGCCGCCCGUGGGCGCCCCCAGGCCCCGCGGCCCCCAGCCCCCGCCACCCCGGCGCCGGCCCCUCUCACCCUUUCAUUCUCUGCCCGGGGCCUGACGCGGGCCGGCGAAUCCCCGGCCUCACAUCAGAGUGAGAGGCGCUGGCAAUGGACUCGGAAGCUCGGCUGCCGCUGUUACUGCUCCCCCCUGGGCUCCGGCGAGAGCCUUUCCCUGUCAAGCAAGAGGGCCAAGAAGGCAGGGCUGCCGGGGCUGCACAAGAAGAGGCAGCAGCCUCCUAUAGCACCACUACAGGCACUGCGAGGACAUAACACCAGAGAGCCGCUCCUCUGCCCUCCGAAACGACAACUUUCCUACCAUCUUGGAGGCAGAGGAAAGGGGGGCCGGGGGGAAAAGUGCACCCGCUCCCGAUAA